Molecule: ribosomal RNA, 251 nt
Filed under: uncultured prokaryote
Description: partial 16S ribosomal RNA
Rfam family: Bacterial small subunit ribosomal RNA
Source: RNAcentral
UACGGAGGAUGCAAGCGUUAUCCGGAUUUAUUGGGUUUAAAGGGUGCGCAGGUUGUUUGAUAAGUCAGUGGUGAAAGUCUGUCGCUUAACGGUAGGAUUGCCAUUGAUACUGUUAGACUUGAAUAUGGAUGAGGUAGGCGGAAUGUGCAGUGUAGCGGUGAAAUGCUUAGAUAUUGCACAGAACACCGAUUGCGAAGGCAGCUUACCAAGCUAUUAUUGACGCUGAGGCACGAAAGCGUGGGGAUCGAACA